CAUUCCUUUAAAUCCAGUCCCGAGAGGCUGGCAAGGCAUAGAACGCUGUUUUGGCUGCCCAAAAUCGGCAUCCGUCCGGCUUCUUGUCUCUGCUACCUCUCCAUAGGUAACGUGAGUCAAGAAGCUUUUUCUU
Non-coding RNA from Brevibacillus parabrevis, 133 nucleotides. The record is from Rfam. Lineage: Bacteria; Bacillati; Bacillota; Bacilli; Caryophanales; Paenibacillaceae.